Molecule: RNase P RNA, 270 nt
Filed under: fish gut metagenome
Description: Bacterial RNase P class B
Rfam family: Bacterial RNase P class B
About the family: Ribonuclease P (RNase P) is a ubiquitous endoribonuclease, found in archaea, bacteria and eukarya as well as chloroplasts and mitochondria. Its best characterised activity is the generation of mature 5'-ends of tRNAs by cleaving the 5'-leader elements of precursor-tRNAs. Cellular RNase Ps are ribonucleoproteins.
Source: RNAcentral
UUGGUCAAUUGCUGCAGUAAUGUAGAGGAAAGUCCGCGCUAGCACCAUCUGCGAUGAUGGUAACGUUCAUGUUAGAUCAAAUAAAUCUAAGCCUAGACGACAAGUGCCACAGAGACGAGCUUAUUAAGUUAAGGUGAAACGCGGUAAACUCCGUGAGCUAGAAACCCAAAUUUUGGUAGGGGAAUUUGCAUUAGAGAAUUGAAUCGAUUGCAAGAGGGAAACCUAGAUAAAUAAUUGACACUCUUUUAGAGAACAGAACGCGGCUUAUAG